Long non-coding RNA from Ostrinia nubilalis (European corn borer), 594 nucleotides. RefSeq lists it as uncharacterized. Lineage: Eukaryota; Metazoa; Arthropoda; Insecta; Lepidoptera; Crambidae. The transcript has 2 exons. The record is from RefSeq and is a predicted model, not a curated record.
UAACCAGUGUCACUGUCAUUUCUAAAUAUUUUAUAACCUCUAAAUUUUACUGAAUCUGAUGAUUUUAACCAAGUUUCAUUGAGAAUUAAAAUAUCAAUAUUGAGUGUAAUUAAAAGCUCACUUACGAAGGGAGUCUUAGGCUUAAGACUCUGAAUAUUGUGUUGAACAAUAACUAAAGAUUUACUAUCCAUUUUGAGAAACUUUCUUUAAAAACAUUUCUUUAAUAUUAGAGGAAUUAAUUGGCAAGCUGUUUUCUUUGUCACAAAAAUUACAGGUACAAUGCUUAGACCAUAGUUAACAUGCUCGGGGAGUACAUUACCUGCAAAGGUCAGAGAUACAGUUUGCAAUGGGAUGAUACCUUCAGGAGUGCGCUUCGUGAACCUUCUGACUGCCAGGAUCUCCUGUGAACUGAGAAGUUUGUCAAAUAGAUGUUUGCAGCUAAGAUCUGUGGGAAUGUAUCGUAUAACUCCUAUGCAUUCUGAUGUUGCCGCAGGGAUGAAGGCUUUGAUGUCAUGAGAAGACAAGAAUGUUGAGUUAAACAGUAACGCAUUAGCAUUCUUUGCAUUAUCAAAAAUAACAGCAUACCGCAUUGCA